This 363-nucleotide transfer-messenger RNA is filed under the name Massilibacterium senegalense. Its description in RNAcentral is "Standard tmRNA". It matches the Rfam family "transfer-messenger RNA". Rfam says of the family: Bacterial tmRNA, also known as 10Sa RNA or SsrA, is named for its dual tRNA and mRNA-like properties. Lineage: Bacteria; Bacillati; Bacillota; Bacilli; Caryophanales; Bacillaceae. The record is from RNAcentral.
GGGGACGUUACGGAUUCGACAGGGGUAGGUCGAGCUUAGGUUGCGAGUCGAGUCGGCAAUCUCGUAAAUAAUGCCAACGCCAAAAUAACUGGCAAACAAGAACAAAACUUCGCUUUAGCAGCGUAAGCUAGCUAGCGGUCUCCCCGUCCAUCGCCCGUGUGGUACGGUACGGGACUCACUUAAGCGGGAUACGUCGUUUAUCUGCCGUCUGAAGGUAGCGAAAGAGAACAACCAGACUAGCUUUAACUGGCGCCAGUUGAUGGGCCGAUGAUAAAGCGAACCCUUUAAAUACAUCAACUACACUCGUAGACGCUUAAGUGCCGAUACUUUUGGACGUGGGUUCGACUCCCACCGUCUCCACCA